UACGGGAGGCAGCAGUGAGGAAUAUUGGACAAUGGGCGCAAGCCUGAUCCAGCCAUGCCGCGUGCAGGAUGACGGUCCUAUGGAUUGUAAACUGCUUUUAUACGAGAAGAAACACUGCUUCGUGAAGCAGCUUGACGGUAUCGUAAGAAUAAGGAUCGGCUAACUCCGUGCCAGCAGCCGCGGUAAUACGGAGGAUCCAAGCGUUAUCCGGAAUCAUUGGGUUUAAAGGGUCCGUAGGCGGUUUAAUAAGUCAGUGGUGAAAGCCCAUCGCUCAACGGUGGAACGGCCAUUGAUACUGUUAAACUUGAAUUAUUAGGAAGUAACUAGAAUAUGUAGUGUAGCGGUGAAAUGCUUAGAGAUUACAUGGAAUACCAAUUGCGAAGGCAGGUUACUACUAAUGGAUUGACGCUGAUGGACGAAAGCGUGGGUAGCGAACAGGAUUAGAUACCCUGGUAGUCCACGCCGUAAACGAUGGAUACUAGCUGUUGGAAGCAAUUUCAGUGGCUAAGCGAAAGUGAUAAGUAUCCCACCUGGGGAGUACGUUCGCAAGAAUGAAACUCAAAGGAAUUGACGGGGGCCCGCACAAGCGGUGGAGCAUGUGGUUUAAUUCGAUGAUACGCGAGGAACCUUACCAAGGCUUAAAUGUAGUUUGACCGGUUUGGAAACAGAUCUUUCGCAAGACAAAUUACAAGGUGCUGCAUGGUUGUCGUCAGCUCGUGCCGUGAGGUGUCAGGUUAAGUCCUAUAACGAGCGCAACCCCUGUUGUUAGUUGCCAGCGAGUCAUGUCGGGAACUCUAACAAGACUGCCAGUGCAAACUGUGAGGAAGGUGGGGAUGACGU
RNAcentral lists this ribosomal RNA (840 nucleotides) under Flavobacterium sp. 4cultural_38. RNAcentral describes it as "bacterial SSU rRNA". It matches the Rfam family "Bacterial small subunit ribosomal RNA", at positions 340 to 1185 of the family's 1533-position model. Lineage: Bacteria; Pseudomonadati; Bacteroidota; Flavobacteriia; Flavobacteriales; Flavobacteriaceae. The record is from RNAcentral.